Molecule: ribosomal RNA, 253 nt
Filed under: uncultured bacterium
Lineage: Bacteria
Description: partial 16S ribosomal RNA
Rfam family: Bacterial small subunit ribosomal RNA
Source: RNAcentral
UACAGAGGUCUCAAGCGUUGUUCGGAUUCAUUGGGCGUAAAGGGUGCGUAGGCGGCGCGGUAAGUCGGGUGUGAAAUCUCGGAGCUUAACUCCGAAACUGCAUUCGAUACUGCCGUGCUUGAGGACUGGAGAGGAGACUGGAAUUUACGGUGUAGCGGUGAAAUGCGUAGAUAUCGUAAGGAAGACCAGUGGCGAAGGCGGGUCUCUGGACAGUUCCUGACGCUGAUGCACGAAGGCCAGGGGAGCAAAUGGG